UCGAGAAUCUUCCGCAAUGGGCGAAAGCCUGACGGAGCGACGCCGCGUGAUCGACGAAGUCCUUAGGGAUGUAAAGAUCUUUUAUGAGGGAGGAAGUUUAUUGACGUUACCUCAAGAAUAAGGGGUUGCUAAACUCGUGCCAGCGGCAGCGGUAAUACGAGUGCCCCGAGCGUUAUCCGGAAUCACUGGGCGUAAAGGGUGUGUAGGCGGCUAUGUUAGUCCACCGUCAAAUUCUUCGGCUUAACCGGGGGUCCGCGGUGGAAACGGCAUGGCUUUGAGGAUGUGAGAGGCAAGCGGAACUCUAGGUGUAGGGGUGAAAUCCGUUGAUAUCUAGGGGAACACCAAAAGCGAAGGCAGCUUGCUGGCGCAUUUCUGACGCUGAAACACGAAAGCGUGGGUA
This 400-nucleotide ribosomal RNA is filed under the name uncultured bacterium. RNAcentral describes it as "bacterial SSU rRNA". It matches the Rfam family "Bacterial small subunit ribosomal RNA", at positions 355 to 767 of the family's 1533-position model. The record is from RNAcentral.